Molecule: long non-coding RNA, 627 nt
Filed under: Salmo salar (Atlantic salmon)
Lineage: Eukaryota; Metazoa; Chordata; Actinopteri; Salmoniformes; Salmonidae
Description: lncRNA (ENSSSAG00000090291.1)
Source: RNAcentral
UUCAGAGGAAGUUACAGUAGAUAAGGUGUGUUCAGAGGAAGUUACAGUAGAUAAGGUGUGUUCAGAGGAAGUUACAGUAGAUAAGGUGUUCAGAGGAAAUUACAGUAGAUAAGGUGUGUUCAGAGGAAGUUACAGUAGAUAAGGUGUGUUCAGAGGAAAUUACAGUAGAUAAGGUGUGUUCAGAGGAAGUUACAGUAGAUACGGUGUGUUCAGAGGAAAUUACAGUAGAUAAGGUGUUCAGAGGAAGUUACAGUAGAUAAGGUGUGUUCAGAGGAAGUUACAGUAGAUAAGGUGUGUUCAGAGGAAGUUACAGUAGAUACGGUGUGUUCAGAGGAAUUUACAGUAGAUAAGGUGUGUUCAGAGGAAGUUACAGUAGAUAAGGUGUGUUCAGAGGAAGUUACAGUAGAUAAGGUGUGUUCAGAGGAAGUUACAGUAGAUAAGGUGUGUUCAGAGGAAGUUACAGUAGAUAAGGUGUUCAGAGUGGCACCAGCUCAUCAUCAUUCCCCGUGAAGCCCAAGGGAAUGUCCCAAAUGGCAACCUAUUCCCUGUACAGUGCACAACAUUUGACCAGAGCCUAUAGGCUGUCACGUCUGCUCCCGCUCCCCCGUCUGGCGCUCGAGGGCUGCC